Siniperca chuatsi (mandarin fish) is the source of this 408-nucleotide long non-coding RNA. RefSeq lists it as uncharacterized. The record is from RefSeq and is a predicted model, not a curated record. The transcript is spliced from 3 exons. NCBI's taxonomy places the organism in Eukaryota, Metazoa, Chordata, Actinopteri, Centrarchiformes, Sinipercidae.
CCCACCACAAGAUUCUUGAUAAAGGACCAGCAGCACACCCUCAUCUUCUACUGAUCCCUGCUGGUUCACUGGAGACAUUACUUACAAAAAAAACAGCACAGAGGGGACGGCUUGAGUUUGAUUUCACAGAGUUGAUCACACAGUGUGCUGCCCUCUGGGUUCAAAAAGAAGUGGACAUGUCCAGUUGCUGCAGGAAGAAGCAUUAGUGAACAAUGGCACCAGCACAGCGGUGAUGUUAGAAGUACAUGGCUGAGAAUAUGGGAGGCAACAUGAUGAAAACAGGCUGGCAGCAUCAAGUCCAGCUUUUCUGAGUCAGACCCAAGUGGGAUGGAGUUUGGAGAAGCUGCGUGCCAUUUCUUCUCCUUCUUCUUCUUCUUAUCCCCCCAUGUGGCAGCAGAUGGGGCUCCC